This 76-nucleotide transfer RNA is filed under the name Candidatus Crickella equi. Its description in RNAcentral is "tRNA-Arg". It matches the Rfam family "tRNA". Rfam says of the family: Transfer RNA (tRNA) molecules are approximately 80 nucleotides in length. Their secondary structure includes four short double-helical elements and three loops (D, anti-codon, and T loops). Lineage: Bacteria; Bacillati; Bacillota; Clostridia; Peptostreptococcales; Anaerovoracaceae. The record is from RNAcentral.
GUCUCAGUAGCUCAGGGGAUAGAGCACUGCUCUCCUAAAGCAGGUGUCGGAGGUUCGAAUCCUCUCUGGGACACCA